UAUUGCUUUUAGGUACCUUUUACAGAUAAGAUUUAAUGGGACUUCUAGUUGAGUGUUGUGGAGUAAAUAGAAUAUGUUUUUGAAAAAUCUUUUUUCCUCAAUCUUUUAUAAUUAGCUUGCAGUUGAAUGGCUGGUCUCUUACUGCACCUAUAUCAGAAUUCGUGUGUCGUCUAUAAUGUAUCUCCUACUUGUCUGGAAAGUCACACUCUUAUCUAGUGUAAAAUUUCUCCUCAGGGAUUUAUAUCAGUAGGAAAGUCUAUAAACCAGUUUAAACCUCAUCUUUUUAAGCUAACAAACUGCACAAAGGCAAAACUUUAAAGUAUCUUAUAAACAUCACAGAUGUAUAAUGUAAAUGAGAUUUCAAGUGCGAUGCAACAUUCUCCAUAUGAUUCUAAACAUUUUAGUCUUUUUUUGACUGAAGUAAACAUUUUGGUCAUUACUCUGUUUGCCCUGGUCAGCAAGCCAAUCUACUCAAUACGCCUCCCUGAAUGUAUGCUGAACUUUGUUCUGCAUUAUUUCUUUAUCUUUUCCUUAAUUAUGUUAAUAACAGAUUGAUAUGCUGAGGUCCUUUUCAUACUCUAUUAGUAUAUAUUAACAAUACCAGUGAAUCUGAUUGCAUUACAACGUUUAUUGCUCCUGUAGAAGUUUCACCUAUAGAUUGAGCUCUUACCAUGCUUUAUCUACGGUUGGGUUCUUAUCUAAACAGGUCAUUGUUCUAAUAGCUAAAUGGCUUUAUAUCUCCAAUGCUGAAUUAUGUUCUAUUUUGAGAUUGUCAAGCCCAGUUGCAUUUUAUUAUUUGAAAAAUCUCUGCUGAUACCUUGGUUUUACCUAUUAUUUUUCUUAUUAUUAAUUCCCAACCCUUGAGGAUUUGAUAUUGUCAGUGUCAGUCCAAUUAUUCAACACCCGCUCUUUCUUUCUUAUUCUUUCAAACCUUCACCUCUGAAUUUUCAGUCAUUAAACCUACAGUUGGGGAAUAUCUUAUUGUCUGGUCUAUCCUCUUUCGCUUGCCUGCUCCUUAGGCAGUUCCAAGCUUCCUCUAUCACUAAUUUUGGUGGAGUCAAUGUAAUGUAGUAAUGUUUAGCAUUUAAUAUCUCAAAGUGAUAGGUAAGUUUGGAGAGGUGUUGUGGGGGGUAUGCCAUGAUCUUGGUUUACAGGUUAGGGAUAUGGCUAGCAAGGAAUGCUCUUCCUGGGGAAGCUUGCAAGACAUUUUAUGGUUGUCCGCUAGCUGGGUAGAGGAUGGGAAGAGUUGAUUGUUGGCACCAUUCUAGGUCCUCUAAUUUUAGUACAAAAACUAUUUCCCAUCCCCAAUUUCUUGAAGCUGUUUGUUAUAUGGAUGUGAUUGAUCUGAUUUGUGCUUCUUGAUGAUGUUAAUUUUGACAGAUUUUGUUAUCAAACUUCCAAUUACAUAUAACUGUUUGGCCUCAUGCUCUACUUAUAGAUAUUUUGGCAAUCUUUUUAUUUGCUAUCAUCAAUCUUUCUGACAUACUGAGUGUAAGUUGAAAUCAACAAAUCUUCAUGAAGUGAAGUUACCCUAAUCAGAAGGAUUUCUUUUCGAAAGGUCUGUCUAUAUUACUCACAUGUUUUAUGCCUUCUUUUUAUGGGAAUUGUUGGGGAAGCUCUUUCUGAGCAAACAGUGGUAAGCCAGCUCACAUUUCAUUGAUAAAUGAGAUGAGACAGGAACAGCAUGCAAGAGGGGAAUUGUUGGGAAAGCUUGAAAUUGAAGAGAUCUCCAUUCUAGAGAACAAAUUUAAUUGUUGAUGGGUGGUUAGUGAGUAAAUUAGGGAAACUAUCAGGAAUGUCUUGGUCUUGGUAACCUAGCGGGUCAAUCUAAACAUUCUCUGCAAUUAACUUUAGUUUUGUGGAGAAAACGCUUUGACUCAUGGAAUGGAAUAGUUUGAAUAUUAGAGUUUAAAAUGGAUAGUGAAGGGUGUGCCACACAAAUAAAAGAGAUUUCAUUUUUGAUGGUCUUUGGAAUGGUUCAAUUUAAAGAAGGGUGGAUAAUUUUGUAGACAUAUAGUUGAUGAGGAAUACAGGGUAGUAAAUUAAUUUGGAAUUUCAAACUUAGUAUAGGUCUUAUGCAUAAUAUUUGAAAUUUUUUAGUUGUACAUGAUCGUUCUGUCUACUUAUUGAAGUAGGCAGAUUUCGUCACAAAAACCUCUGGGUAUUUCUUGUAAGUGAUUCUGUUUAUUAGAUUAUUGGUCAUGAAUGGAUAUGUUAAGUUAUGGCACUCCAAUGGUUGUGGAAUGUUUUUGACUGUUGCUGUAGCUUGCAGGAAACUGAUGGCUAAUCAUAGGAGAUGCUGUCAUGGAAUUGAAACUUCAUAGUUCCAUUUACCUUGUGUAUAUGAGAAUUGAGAGUUUCCUAUCAUCUUCUCAAGUAUAUACUUAAAAGUAUUUCAAUGCUCAACAUUGUAGGAGCAUCUUUAUGAAAAUGGGACGACAAACCUAUGGAGAUCUGUCCAGUGAUGGACUUUAUGGUAGAUACAUAUGGAAAAGAGUUUGACCUUCAUGAAGACUAUUGGCGGAUUACCAUCCAGAAGGUUUUCAUUGACAACAUUUGCUGAGAUUAUUUUAACUCAACAAUUGCAAAAUGCCUCAUCCAUAAAUGUUAAAAAUUGAUGGAAUAAUUGGAAGCAUCUCCUUAGCCUAUCAUUCUUUAUAGUUACACUGGUUCUUAUGUUCCCACAUUUUGGAUGGUCAAGCUCAUUUCUGAUUGAAAGUCUCCAUUUGGGGUAUGGUCCUCCAUUGGAGGAGUAAUUGGAAAAUUCUGAGUUGGUAAUUUUUUUCUUGCUUUCUUGUCUCGUUGUCAACCAUGCUUCAGAUGAAGUGGAGGCUUGGUACAGUGUGAACUGAAUUUGAGUUGAUGACUAACUGGUACAAUUAUGUGCUCAUAGAAGUUUGAGAAAAACUCCAUUAGGUGGGUGUUUAGAAGGUGAUGCAUAUUAGUCACUCCAUUUUUUUUUGUUGACAGAAGUGAGAUCAAGUUAUGAGUGGAUGAUUUGACAUGUUGGCUGAAGUGCCAAGAAUUGCACAAGGAAAAAUUAAUAUAGAUAUAAAAGUGGCCAGAUCUUCUUUCCGUAUUGGGAAUAACUUGUUUCUAGAAACCUCUCUGCAUACUUAGAUCUUCUCUUUGUAGUAGAAGGUCAUCUUAUUCUAUUAGUUCUUUCUAGUCUGUUGUUGCUUUAUCUAUAAAAGUAAGUUUGCUUCAUUUCAGCUGAAAGACUACUAGAAAAAUAGUUCGAUUGUUUUGUCCCGUGUUCAUGCCUAGACACUAUUUUUUCAGUGGGUGUGAUCCAUGUCAGAGCAGAUAGGAUGGUUACUUGUGGGCAUUAUGAAUGGCUCAUUGAUUGCUUGCAUAAAAGUUCUGUUUGUGAUUCCAAACUCGAGCUUUGUCCUAAUACAGAUGCAGUCCGUUUGAAGAAUGAAGAUGACACACCAAGAAUAAAAAUAUGUGGGGCUCAUAAACACCAGAACAGGAUCUCUGGAAUGGACCCUCUAGAAUGGCAGGUGGAAUCCCUGAGCCACUGCACAUGUUGGGGUCUGCCACGGCAUUUGUGUUUGGGGCAUAUUCACCCUAGAGAGGUGGUACUUCCCUGCAUGGUUUAUAAAGGAAAAGGCUUAUAUGCAGUUGUUUCAAGGGAAUUCAAGCAUAGAAUGAUCUCUCUCGUAUGAUCCCCACCGUCAUCAACCCACAUCUCUGCCCGACUUAUGAUGGGAACAGGCCAUGUUUUUUGAUACUAAGGCUUAAUACACUUCGAGGAAGUUAUGGAGUUUUCUAGUGUCUGCUUCUUGUUGUGCCCACAUGUGACCUGUUUGUUUCAGGGUACAGCGGUGUCUGAACUGUCUUGCAAAGGGUUAUGCAUGAAUUGGAGAAGUUUUGAGAGCUUGCAAUUGGGUGGCCCCAUAACUUUACAAGUUUGAGUGGUACGCCCAUAACUAGCAAAAGGACAUUUCUCAUUUUUGUUUGGUUUUUAUGUGCUUUUAUUAGUCUUGCUUCUGCGAGGGAGAGCUUUUGAAGUGUUGUUUUUGCUGUGCUCAUAAAAGAAAUAUUGUUUUCACAAGUUAUAUGAAAAUUAUCCUAUUUAUCCAUAGAUCCUUAUUCUAUAUUCCUCUUCAUUCCAUUAUAAUUUAAGACAAUUUUAGACCAUUUCUAGUAUAUUCAAAUUGGAACAUAGUCAUCUGUUUGUGGGUACAAAAUGUGCGCUGGAAAGACAUUGCAUUUGAUGUGCCGGUUUCUCUUCAGCGGCAUCACUUACCAAAACAUUUGAAAAAUUCGUAUGCACUUUAUCCUAUUUUUUUCCCCUCUUGUUCAUGGAUGAGUUACAUGCACAUGUACUACCUAUUCCUCUUGUUUUAGGGGAAUGUACCAACGAAUGCCACAUAGAAUUAGAAGUGGUUCUUAAUGCCGGAAAAGGGGAUAGCAAUUUUUAGCUAAAGCUUUCUAUCUAAGAUAAAAGAGUUUUCAGUAGCUCGCCAUCCAUAAUACUCUUACCAACUUAUGAUGCCUGCUUGCUGCAUUUUGCUGGAGAGGCCUGUGUUUGGCACAUGUCCGGGAGGCUGAUUUAAGACUUCCAAAUCAGCUAGUCUUUUUUGAUGAAGAGGGAGGCAAAGCCACCCGGGCCAAAUCAGCUAGUUAGAUCGAGAAACACAACUAUGAUCUUGUUUAAUGUUCUAUACAAAUGAAGCAGAUGGUUGGAGUCAGGGUUGGGAUGAUGAGUAGGAUAAGAAAGUGAUGGUGGCUGGAGCUGUAAAGAAAUGCCCCACCAUGCACUGCACCCAGUGGCAUCAGUUCUUGGUCUCCUGGACAAGUCGGACAUCAACUGGGGCUGCUAGGCUUUGCAGUGAGAUCCAACCUUCUUUUCCUUUUCAGAGAGGCAAGAAAAGAGGAAAAGCAUAAAGGUUACAUUCACAUGACAUUGUCAAGAAAAGGAGCCAUGUCAGAGUCUUUGGAGAAAGAAAGCAGGAAUAGCUCAGUUAAUUUUGUGGAAUAGAUGCCUAUGCCACUUUUCUGUUUUUGUAAGAAUAUUUGCAAAAAAUCCUAUGAGACCUUUUAGUCACCUAUGAUGGAAAUGUGAAUUCAGUAGUUUUAUUGUUCA
Molecule: non-coding RNA, 5095 nt
Organism: Phoenix dactylifera (date palm)
Lineage: Eukaryota; Viridiplantae; Streptophyta; Magnoliopsida; Arecales; Arecaceae
Source: RefSeq, a predicted model, not a curated record